AACUCCGUUUACAAAAAUUUCACG
Molecule: small nuclear RNA, 24 nt
Filed under: Arabidopsis thaliana (thale cress)
Lineage: Eukaryota; Viridiplantae; Streptophyta; Magnoliopsida; Brassicales; Brassicaceae
Description: snRNA_13355
Source: RNAcentral